RNAcentral lists this long non-coding RNA (276 nucleotides) under Musa acuminata (dwarf banana). Its description in RNAcentral is "long non-coding RNA (MACU_LNC004582)". The record is from RNAcentral. Lineage: Eukaryota; Viridiplantae; Streptophyta; Magnoliopsida; Zingiberales; Musaceae.
AGGCAUCAAUCGACCAUACGAUGUUAGUAGAUUGAGGGAAUGAUUUACUGUGGAAUAAUUUUGGAAAUUUGGAUAUGGACAAGGAUGCAAAUUUAUGUAAGCGUCUGCGACAGUCACUCUAUUUAACAUAUAUAAAUAUGAAUAUGAAUAUGAAUAUGAUUCAAGGACAGUCACUCUAUUUAACAUAUAUAAAUAUAUAAUGCAUAUAUUAAUGAUACAAUACGGAUAGAUAUUCGCUCUUGCCUUAAGCCAGUAUAAAUUUUCUCUUACCACUAG